AAUCGACAAGCGCGGCAAAGGCGGAAGCAAGCUUGUGUGUGACGGCCACCGUCUGCAAAAGUUGACAGUCGUCAGAAAAUUGACAGAAAAAGAAGACGGAAAAGUGCUAGUGUGACGCCGCCUUUAUCUCGCCUCUGCCACUCAUCCUGGGACUUCACUCAACAACGCACUCCGAAUCACCUCUAUGGGCCUUUACCGUAGCGACUGAUCUCCACAGCCUUGGGUCAGGAAACAGUCCCGCAUCCUAGAUGUAGCACUCACCCGCCUCCGUCUGGGCCACACAAGACUCACAGCACACCUGCAUCGCCUUGGUCUAUCACCGGACCCCUACUGCCCCUGGUGCAGGACGGUCGAGGAAACCAUCGAACACUUCCACUUACACUGCCCCCGCUUCCACUCCCACCGUGUUGUGCUUCGUGAUCACCUUGCUGCCUUGGGUGUGUCUACCUUUGACCUGCCCACCCUGCUGGCGGCAGCAGGCGUCUACUCCUCACACCAAGCUGCGGUUAUCCGCCUCACCUGCGUCUUCCUGAAGAAGUGUGGACAACUACCCCGCCUGUGAUCACCUCACAGGCCGCCACCAGGGCUCAUAGGAUCUGUGGGAUCGUCGAAGCCCGAAAACAACAACAACAACAGCACACCUGCAUCUCCUUGGUCUAUCACCGGACCCCUACUGCCCCUGGUGCAGGACGGUUGAGGAAACCAUCGAACACUUCCUCUUACACUGGCCCCGCUUCCACUCCCACCGUGUUGUGCUCUGUGAUCACCUUGCUGCCUUGGGUGUGUCUACCUUUGACCUGCCCACCCUGCUGGUGGCGGCUGGGAUCGUCGAAGCCCGAAAACAACAACUAACUAAAAGCAAGCUGCUACGCCUGUGAUAGCAUCACAGGACUACUCCAGGCUUAUAAGAACCACAAAGAUCUUCAUAGCACUAAUAACAAACAUCAGGAUCAAUUGCAGCUCCCUAUUAUAUUUUGGAGGGAAGAUUGAAGAAUGAUUUCUCUAACUCAGCACCUGAAAAGCUGGAGGUGUUUGGCUUCACUUUCCCAGCAUUACUGCCACCAUAGACUGCUCACCUCUUCAGUAGCCAAAUCAGAAUCUCAAAACAUUACUGACCAAGAGAACUCAUUUGGUCGUAUUGCAGUAGGAAGACAAAAAAAAAGAUUAGAGAAAGAGAAAAAUGGUCCCUCUAGAAAAUUUCCCAAACAUGUUAGAGGCUUUUUUAAACUAAUCCAUUCUGACUCAUCUGGAAAAGACAUCAAACAUAAUAAAGGCUUUCUUGAAUCAGCUCAUUCUCACUUCUCAAGGAAUUUAUCAGGAAUCUCCCAAGACAGUAUUGUUGAGAAUUGGCAUCAGUUUAGGAAUAACAAAUAUCAAGAUACAUUAGUCAGUUGGGAAAGUGAUCAACAAGAUGAUGCUGAGGAGGACUAUAACUGCUUUGUUUCUGGUAAUGCCUCUAUUCUGGAAGAUGAGGGUUGGAAAGACUCAUCUCAGAAGACUGUGGAAUCUUUAAAGAAAAAUGUAAUUGAUAUCAACAAUAAAAAAGAAAAAUUACACAAGCUUGUGAAAAAAAAGAGAAACUUUGGAAGCUUAAGUCCCCUAUAUGAGGAACCAGAGGGUGAUGAUAGGGACCGAAGGGAGGAGAGAUAUCAAAGUGCUAAGUUGGAGAGGCAGCAUCGACCCAACUUUUAUGGAUUCAAGAUGAAGAAACUCUGCAAGGAAAGAAAGUUGGGUGAGGCUAUCAGUGUUUUGGAGGAAGAAAUGCCAGCUGCUGGAUCCAAGCCAAAUCACUACUGUUUCCAGGUUUUGAUUAAUGCCUGUGGCCGUGCUGGCUAUACCAAGAAAGCCUUUCAACUCUACAAUCAGAUGAAGAAGCAUGGCCUCAAGGUGGAACCUGUUGCAUAUACUGGGCUGUUCCUUGCGUGUGCCCACUCACCUUGGCCUACCACUGAUGGUCUUCAGCGAGCUACACACUUACGUUCGUAUCUCCUGGAGAAGAACUUCCAGUUCAAUCAGAUUAUCUGUCAUGCUAUGAUCAAAGCAUUUGGUUGGUGUGGAGACAUGGGCACAGCGUUCCAAGUGGUAGAUGAAAUGAUUCAAGAUGGAAUAAUGGUGACAACUGAGACAAUGAGUUUCCUCCUGCAGGCAUGUAUUACCAACAAGGAAGCUGGCUUUUGGCAUGCUAUGAAGGUGUGGAGAAAAAUGAGGGAGUUGAAGCUGCAGCCAAAUAUACAUUCUUAUAAUCAUCUAAUGCAUAUCAUGAAGGACUGUGGUGCUGGGGAUCCCAAAUUUAUUAUUGAUUUGCUGAAGGAAAAUGACCAGCUCAGCUUAGAAGACAAAACAAACCCAUCCAAAAAGUAUAAAGUCAUCCCUGAAACACUGAAUUUGAAUGUUAAAUCAUUAAAUUCUGAAAAGAAUCUCAGAAAAAUUCAAGAGGACAGUGUUGUGCAUCAUCUAGAAAUUAAUGAUAGUAAAGAAAAUAUGAAUGAGAAUCUAAGCAAGAGUGUAUUGCCCAAUAUUCUUGGCAAAAGGCUGACUAGUAGGGAUGCUGUAGCUCUUGGUACUCUGGAUCAUCCAUCAGACAGGCUGGCAUUUCUUGGUGGCCCAAGUAAUAUUCUAAUGCAGAUGAAGAGAGACAAAAUCACACCAGACCUCAAGACCUUCACCCAGAUGUUGGAAUCACUGCCUCCUGAUACACAAGCUGAACAAGCACUUAUAGAAUCAAUGAAGAAUUUUAAGCUACAGCCUGACACUCAGUUCUUCAAUAUGCUUAUCAAGAAACGAAAUUUUAGGCAGGACAUAAAAGCAGCUCGGACCCAAUAUAGAAAUAAUGACUAUUUUGGUCAAGAACAGUUUAGUAAAACAAGAUUAUACUUUUACUGUGGCCAUGUUGAGGAAGAUGCAAGAAAAGGCUGUAUCCCCUCAUGACCUUCUGCUCUCUGAGCUUGAACGAGCCAGAAUAAGGGCACGGAAGAUUCUUAUGGAUGAGGUACAAGUAGUGAUUGGAAAAAUCGGAAAGGAGAGCAGAGGAAAGAGAAAAACUAAUGAAAACAGCACUAAGACACAAGAAAAAGAGAAGAAAGCUGCAAAAGUGUUUUUAUCAGCCUACAAGAUCUGGCUUAAGGAUACAGAAGUUCAGCUCCCUGAACAUCCAUGGACACAAUAUCAGUAAUGCAAUUACUUUGAUAUGUACAUAAAUAUUUCAGUCCAGUGUUGUAUAGAACUAAGUAAAUUUUUAAAAAUUAA
This 3246-nucleotide unclassified non-coding RNA is filed under the name Portunus trituberculatus (swimming crab). RNAcentral describes it as "pentatricopeptide repeat-containing protein 1, mitochondrial-like, transcript variant X2". The record is from RNAcentral. Lineage: Eukaryota; Metazoa; Arthropoda; Malacostraca; Decapoda; Portunidae.